GAUGAACGCUAGCUACAGGCUUAACACAUGCAAGUCGUGGGGCAGCGGAUACUUAGCUUGCUAAGUAUGCCGGCGACCGGCGCACGGGUGAGUAACGCGUACCGAACCUGCCCAUCACACAGGGAUAGGCUUGCGAAAGCAAGAUUAAUACCUGAUGGUCUCAGUUGUAUGCAUGUAUAAUUGAGUAAAGCCUUCGGGCGGUGAUGGAUGGCGGUGCGUCCCAUUAGGAAGUUGGCGGGGUAACGGCCCACCAAUCCUUCGAUGGGUAGGGGUUCUGAGAGGAAGGUCCCCCACAUUGGAACUGAGAUACGGUCCAAACUCCUACGGGAGGCAGCAGUGAGGAAUAUUGGUCAAUGGGCGAGAGCCUGAACCAGCCAAAUAGCGUGCGGGAUGAAGGCCCUUGUGGUCGUAAACCGCUUUUAUCAGUGAAUAAAGUGCAUCACGUGUGGUGUCAUUGCAGGUAGCUGAAGAAAAAGGACCGGCUAAUUCCGUGCCAGCAGCCGCGGUAAUACGGAAGGUCCGGGCGUUAUCCGGAAUUAUUGGGUUUAAAGGGAGCGCAGGCGGGAGUGUAAGUCAGCUGUUAAAUAUCAGGGCCCAACUCUGUUAUGCAGUUGAAACUAUAUUUCUUGAGUACGCACAGGGAUGGCGGAAUUCAGGGUGUAGCGGUGAAAUGCUUAGAUAUCCUGAAGAACUCCGAUCGCGAAAGCAGCCAUCCGGAGCGUAACUGACGCUGAGGCUCGAAGGUGCGGGUAUCGAACAGG
This 761-nucleotide ribosomal RNA is filed under the name Alloprevotella tannerae. RNAcentral's name for it is "bacterial SSU rRNA". It matches the Rfam family "Bacterial small subunit ribosomal RNA", at positions 28 to 776 of the family's 1533-position model. Lineage: Bacteria; Pseudomonadati; Bacteroidota; Bacteroidia; Bacteroidales; Prevotellaceae. The record is from RNAcentral.